GCGCCCGUGGCUCAACUGGAUAGAGCAUCUGACUUCGGAUCAGAGGGUUGGGGGUUCGAGUCCCUCCGGGCGUGCUA
Molecule: transfer RNA, 77 nt
Filed under: Actinomycetota bacterium
Lineage: Bacteria; Bacillati; Actinomycetota
Description: tRNA-Arg
Rfam family: tRNA
About the family: Transfer RNA (tRNA) molecules are approximately 80 nucleotides in length.
Source: RNAcentral